Molecule: ribosomal RNA, 292 nt
Filed under: uncultured Thermoactinomycetaceae bacterium
Lineage: Bacteria; Bacillati; Bacillota; Bacilli; Caryophanales; Thermoactinomycetaceae
Description: partial 16S ribosomal RNA
Rfam family: Bacterial small subunit ribosomal RNA
Source: RNAcentral
GUGUCAGCAGCCGCGAUAAUACGUAGGGGGCGAGCGUUGUCCGGGAUUAUUGGGCGUAAAGCGCGCGCAGGCGGCCGGUUAAGUCAGAUGUGAAAGGCUGCGGCUCAACCGCAGAGCGGCAUCUGAAACUGGCCGGCUUGAGUGCAGGAGAGGGGAGCGGAAUUCCCGGUGUAGCGGUGGAAUGCGUAGAGAUCGGGAGGAACACCAGUGGCGAAGGCGGCUCUCUGGCCUGUAACUGACGCUGAGGCGCGAAAGCGUGGGGAGCGAACAGGAUUAGAUACCCCCGUAGUCC